ACGCCUAACACAUGCAAGUCGAACGAAGUAGCAAUACUUAGUGGCAGACGGGUGAGUAACAUGUAGGUAUCUGCCCUUUGGCCUGGAAUAACACGAGGAAACUUGUGCUAAUACCGGAUAAGUCUUUACGGAGAAAGCUUUAUGCACCAUUGGAUGAGCCUGCACUUGAUUAGUUUGUUGGUGGGGUAAUGGCCUACCAAGACUGUGAUCAAUAGCUGAUUUGAGAGGAUGAUCAGCCACAUUGGGACUGAGACACGGCCCAAACUCCUACGGGAGGCAGCAGUGGGGAAUCUUGCACAAUGGAGGAAACUCUGAUGCAGCGAUGCCGCGUGAGUGAAGAAGGCCUUUGGGUUGUAAAGCUCUUUCGUCGGGGAAGAAAAUGACUGUACCCGAAUAAGAAGGUCCGGC
RNAcentral lists this ribosomal RNA (408 nucleotides) under uncultured bacterium. RNAcentral describes it as "bacterial SSU rRNA". It matches the Rfam family "Bacterial small subunit ribosomal RNA", at positions 44 to 497 of the family's 1533-position model. The record is from RNAcentral.